GCCGUCCGCCCGGCCCCGCUGCCCCCCAGGAAAGGUGCCACGGAGAGCUCGUAGCAUAGAUCUCAUCCUCCCCUGUCUGUCUCAGCUUAUUGUACUUACAGAAUUGAAGACAGUUUGCUGGUUAACAAUGCCUGCAAAAAUUGCUUUGCAACCGGGUUUUCCUAUCAGUCGAUUAACCUUCAUGUGCCACAUUGUUUGUUAUUGAUUUCUCAGUCAUGGGACGAAAGGAAAGUCACGUCAUUCAGGAUAAAUUCACACAGGAAUUAGACAGGAAUGAGUAGAAAAUUGGGUGAUAGAAGUAAAUGACCUUGUUACGGCCAACACGACGUGGGAAUAAGUAAGGACAAAGAACUAAGAAGCAAAAUGCGUGAUGUGUCUGCGAGCUUCUCUCACUAGAACUAGAAUAUUUUUAGAUAUUCUUAAUAAUGUAUUAAAAAUAGAGAGCCCUGAUGCAGUCUCAAGAGUAGGAAAGGAGGAGGUGACGUGCAAAAGAACAGAAAUGAGCAAGUAAAACACAGUUACCAUAUGAAAAUAAUAACAAAGGUAGGAGAAAGCAGGAAAAAGAACAGAUAGCACGGAAAAACUGCAGGCAAUGGGACUUGUGAAAAAUAAUGCAACUGGAGAACUUGAUGUAAUGGAACACUUCUUUUUAAUGGAUUAAAAGUCUUUAAAAAGCACCUUCCUAAAGAUGAUAUCUUCUCUGGGGAUUUGUUUUAAUUGCUAAUGGUCUGAAAUGAAUAUUGAAGAAGCUUAGUGGUAAGGCUUAUGUGGCUAGAUUUUUUUUUUCCCCUGCUUCUUACUGAAAGCUUUGUGCAUUGUCAUUAAUAGCAUAUAAGCUUUUUGUAAAAACUAAUUAUUUGUGCAUAGUUCUCGCUGUAGCCUGCUGUAUCUCUUUUAAUGUUGAUUCGGAUAUGGAAGCAUGCAUCCUGAAGUCCUGUCACACUGGAAUUAACUUUAUAUUUCAGCAUGCUACUGCAAAAAUAAAUUUCAGGGAGAGAAUUGUUUGUUGUUUUUUUUCUUUUGUUUCAAAUUAACUACGAGUGCCAAAUAGUUUUCAAAAAGAAAUGUGCAGCUGCCAAACCUAGAUAGCUGAUGGAAUUUUCCGUGGUUGCUGUUGACCGAGAUUUUACUGUCAGGAGUUGAUAUCAAGAUGAGUGCUAUAUUUUCAGGGCAGAAAUUAGUUCUGCAUGUUGGAUGUUUCCUCUGUUUCUUUUUGAUGCAGAAAGGCUAGAAACCAGCUGUUCAGAAGUCAAAUAGCACUUGGUUAAGAGUGGAGGAAGGCAAAGCUUAUUUGGGGGAUGGGACCUCAUACUGUCUAGAUGAUGAGUCCUCUGUUCUCUCU
Non-coding RNA from Struthio camelus australis, 1342 nucleotides. The record is from RefSeq and is a predicted model, not a curated record. Lineage: Eukaryota; Metazoa; Chordata; Aves; Struthioniformes; Struthionidae.